GGGGGAUAAGCUUCAUUGUCAAGAGGGAAACAGCCCAGAUCACCAGUUAAGGCCCCUAAAUAAUUGCUAAGUGGCAAAGGAUGUAAAUAGACGUAGACAACCAGGAGGUUUGCUUAGAAGCAGCCAUUUUCCUUUAAAAAGUGCGUAAUAGCUUACUGGUCAAGUCUGUUUGCGCCGAUAAUGUACGGGACUAAGUAAUUUGCCGAAACUGUGAGUUUUACGGUAGGAGAGCGUUCUGUUUUGUUUGAAGUAAGGGUGUGAGCCUUUAUGGACUUUGCAGAAGUGAGAAUGUCGGCUUAAGUAACGAAAACAUUGGUGAGAAUCCAGUGCUCCGAAAACCGAAGGGUUCCUUUGCAAGGUUCGUCCACAAAGGGUUAGUCAGGACCUAAGAUGAGGUUUAAUAACGUAGUCGAUGGUUAACAGGUUAAUAUUCCUGUACUGUACCUGGUUUGGUUAAGGGUGACGAAAAAGAUUGAGGUUAGCCAACUGAUGGUGAUUGGUUUAAAUCCUUAAGAUGUUGAGAGGCAUUAUAAAAAGAUGUUUUGAGUUGAGAGGAUGAAUACUUUGGUACUAUGGUACUGAAGUAACCUGAUUCAUGUUUCCUAGAAAAACCCUUGUAAUUUCAUUAACCAGAAUACACCUGUACCGUAAACUGACACAGGUCGGUGGGUAGAAUAUACUAAGGAGCUCGAGAUAACUCUUUUUAAGGAACUCGGCAAAAUGACCUUGUAACUUCGGGAGAAAAGGUGCCUUAAUUUUUUAAGGUUGCAGUGAUUAGACCCAGGCGACUGUUUAUCAAAAACACAGGUCUCCGCAAAGUCGAAAGACGAUGUAUGGGGGCUGACGCCUGCCCAGUGCCGGAAGGUGAAGGAAACUUGUUAGCGUUUGCGAAGCUCGUGACUUAAGCCCCGGUGAACGGCGGCAGUAACUAUAACUGUCCUAAGGUAGCGAAAUUCCUUGUCGGGUAAGUUCCGACCUGCACGAAAAGGCGUAACGAUCUGGGUACUGUCUCAAAAAGAGACUCGGUGAAAUAGAACUAACUGUGAAGAUGCGGUUAACUUACACUUGGACAGAAAGACCCUAUGAAGCUUUACUGUAGUCUGAAAUUGAUUUUCGACUUUUUUUGCGCAGUAUAGGUGGGAGGCAUUGAUCUAUCUUUUUCGGGAGUUAGGGAGCCAAAAGUGAGAUACCACUCUAAAAAAGUUAAAAGUCUAAUAACAUUUCAUUAUUUGGAUGUUUGACCCUUUCAGACGGGCAGUUUUACUGGGGCGGUAGCCUCCUAAAAAGUAACGGAGGCGUACAAAGGUUUUCUCAAACUGGUCGGAAAUUAGUUUUGGAGUGCAAAGACAAAAGAAAGCUUAACUGUUAGACUCAUAAGUCAAGCAGUGACGAAAGUCGGUCUUAGUGAUCCGACGUUGCUGUGUGGAAAGGACGUCGCUCAACAGAUAAAAGUUACUCUAGGGAUAACAGGCUGAUCUCCCCCAAGAGUUCACAUCGACGGGGAGGUUUGGCACCUCGAUGUCGGCUCAUCGCAACCUGGAGCGGUAGUACGUUCCAAGGGUUGGGCUGUUCGCCCAUGAAAGCGGUACGUGAGCUGGGUUCAGAACGUCGAGAGACAGUUCGGUCCAUAUCCGGUGUGAGCGUUGGAGUAUUGAAAGGAACUUUUUCUAGUACGAGAGGACCGAAAAGGACACGCCAAUGGUGUGCCAGUUCUUAUGCCAAUAGGAAAUGCUGGGUAGCUAUGCGUGGAGUGGAUAACUGCUGAAAAGCAUAAAU
RNAcentral lists this ribosomal RNA (1776 nucleotides) under Lepocinclis acus var. major. RNAcentral's name for it is "LSU rRNA". It matches the Rfam family "Bacterial large subunit ribosomal RNA", at positions 993 to 2792 of the family's 2925-position model. The record is from RNAcentral. Lineage: Eukaryota; Euglenozoa; Euglenophyceae; Euglenales; Phacaceae.